UUCUGGAAACCAGAAUUUCUGAUUUGUGGAAAAUUCUAUAGAUAUUCUCUGCCAGACUCCAGCCUAUUUGUGUGAGACAUCUGGGGAGGCUCCCCUUUUUUUCACCAUUUGAGGACUGAAAGUAAAUUUAGCUUCCUCAGCAGAAAGAAAAGAAGCUGUUUUAGAGGUUGGGAAGAACUUUAGAAAAUGCGGCAUCAAGUCUGUUGCCCCCUUUGAAGAAAGCAGCUCUGGAAAAGGCCUAGGACAUUAGUUGCUACAAAGUUCUAGAUCAUUCUGUGUGGUAAAGAAGUGCCUUUCACCUCCCACUGUGAUUCUGAGGCCUCCCCAGCCAUGUGGAACUAUCAGGUCUGUGUUGGUAAAUUAGACACCGUGUGGCCUUUCAACAUCCAGGAGCAAGAUGGCAGGAAGAUCAUGCCAACAACUGAGGUACCUUGCAGGAAAUCAAACAGGAAGAAAUCACCCAAUGGGAUCAGCUGGGCAAACAUGGGUCACCCCAGGUCUGGUCCCUCAAAUCUACCCAACCAAACCAUAUCAUAGUGGAUAGCUAUUAUCUUUACGUGACUAGCAUUCAUUGCCCCUUCUGGUAUGCCCUAUUCCCCACUCUCAAUCCAUCUGUUUUAAGAAUGCCCCCACCUCCACCUUCCAUCUCCAGGAGUGAUAUCCACCCAGGUUUGCUCAGUAAGACUAUGAGACCUGUCUUCCUGGCUGUGGUGAUUGGUUCAGAAGCAACAUGCCAACCAACCUGAUCCAAUGAGAGUGAGUUCUAGGACUUUUGCUGGAACUACUGUAUGUCUAUAUAUAAAAGAGAAUCUAUCUUUCUAUUGAAAGCCAAGGGUAAGCAGCCAAUAUGAUAUGCAUUUGAUUCUGUUACGGAAAUCCACAUAAAAGAAGGCUGCCCAAGUAUAAAACCAACACAGAAGAAAGCAGAGGUAAGAGAUGGAAAAAGAAAUGGAGAGAACCAGUAACAGCAAGAGACUGAAGAACAUCAUUUGAUUGCCUGGAAUCUGCUAAGCCUGAAGAGAAGCCUAACCCUAAGCUUUUCAGUUACCCAAGCCAUCAAAUUCCCAUCCCCAUUUUUUUGGUUCUUAAGCAGCUUGAACCAUAGUUGUCUCACUUGCAUGCAAGAGAUCCCUGAAGAUACAUGCACUUCCUCAGGUGAAGAUUGCCAUCAGUUAACAGAUCCUGGCACCCAUGGACCCUGGGACAGUCAUUCUGGUAGCAUCCUCUGGUAGAGAAUAACAUAGUCAAAUCUGACAGUCAGAGAGGAUCUGCCAGCCUCUGCUUAGAUAUAGCCCACUGAAAGGGAGAGAUGAUUAAUUUAGCCUUGAUUUCAAAACCUUGUCUUGUAUAUUCCAUUCAGCACUUUUUAUCUUCCUGUAUUCCCCUGGUUCCUCUCUAGCUGAAUAAAGAACAAUUUUUAAAGCAAA
Long non-coding RNA from Gorilla gorilla gorilla (western lowland gorilla), 1427 nucleotides. RefSeq lists it as uncharacterized. The record is from RefSeq and is a predicted model, not a curated record. Lineage: Eukaryota; Metazoa; Chordata; Mammalia; Primates; Hominidae. The transcript is spliced from 4 exons.